RNAcentral lists this long non-coding RNA (3202 nucleotides) under Setaria viridis. RNAcentral's name for it is "long non-coding RNA (SVIR_LNC011489)". Lineage: Eukaryota; Viridiplantae; Streptophyta; Magnoliopsida; Poales; Poaceae. The record is from RNAcentral.
CGACAUAUUACAACCAUAGUUUGAAACAACUUAAUCAUGCAGGUCAGCGUGGUUCUAAGAAUUUAAAACCAGUCCGGAAGAAAAACAACAAUUAAGUUUUAUUCUAGAGUAUCAUGAGACUCAUAAGAUACCCUAGGUCUUCGGGGCUUCCUCUUCGGUGAGUCCCUGCUGGCUUUCUGAAAACAACAACAAGGGAUCCCCUGAGUACGAAGUACUCAGCAAGUCUUACCCGACUAACCAAUAUAAUAGUUUUCUUUGGAAUGCAUGUCAGCCUUUGGGUGUGCUUGGUUGACACAAUUUUUGCCGAAAAAGCUUACUACGAGUGAGGCCUUAGUUUUAUCUUUUACUUUAGUUAAGUCAUUACCUAACCAUUCUAGAUGAUAGCAGAAGUAAAAGCAACCACAGCUGUUAAGUCAUACAUUACUUGACAACAGGAGAUUUUAUAUCGCAUGAGUUGAUACUACGAUGCUCAACAGUGAUCAAGUGCAUUCAUAACCGAGAAUUGCGGCGAUCCGGAUCAAAUUACAUCCUGCAGGAGAGUACCCCGAUCACCAGCAUUAUACGACUGUUCCGGUCGUAUCUCACAACCUCUCGAUUAGCAAAGUCAAUGAUUAGGAAUACAACUACCCGGACCCAGGGAUGCACCCCCACAUGGGACCCCACGUCUGGCCUGAUCUCCAUGUGAGUUUCAGGCUACACCCCUGCCAAUCUCCAGCACGUCAAAUGCGGGUACGAAGCAUUCCUGAUCAUAGAAUUUACUAAUCUACUGGGCUUUACUGGUCCCAUACCCAGUAAGUGAUCAGAUGUUAUCACUUGAUCAGCGGUUAAGACACGAAUCGGGCCUUAACCAGAUUAAUCUAGCAGACAGAACUACAUCUCUAGCUUCUGUCCGUAUUCAUAUUCCAGACUAUCCUUCAUAAGCAACAUGUAUGACUUAAGAGUUUUCCUUAAGGUUGGUAAACCAAUCAUGUAAGCAAGUAAGCAAUUCUAGACUUGGGUAGUUUCUAGGGUUUGAACAAGUGGCAAAGAUGUCCUUAAAUCAAGGCAUGAUCAUACACAAGAAUAGGUUUCAUCCAACUCCUAGACUCAGUGCAUGUAAUAAACAAAUAACCUAUAACUAGUCACAUGAAAUAACGACUCCAAAAUAGAUAGGUAUAAAUGCACCGGGGCUUGCCUGGGAUCAACAAGGUUAGUUCUUCGGAAAACUUCUUUAUUAAAAGAGGCACUCCAUAUUUCGCGAAUGAUGUCCAUCUCCAGCUGAAAUCCAUGACUUCCACUUCAGGAGUUGUGCCGUCUACGAUUCAGUAUAUGCAAGAGUUAGAGAUGCAAAUUUUUGAAUACAAGACUAUACAACUUUCCUUCAUGAUAAAGUUGCAAGCCAACAAGGACUAUACAAUUUAUCAUGAUAAAGUUGCAAGCCAACACACAAAAACCCGAAAAGAUUAGCCCACCAUUUUUAUUUCCUUUACUAAACCUACCUUAGACCUUUUUAUUUAUUUUUAAAAGCAUUAUAAUAAUUUUCUAAUCUCAAAAACCUAAUUCCUAUGAAUUAAUAAUGAUUUGUGGAUAAUAAAGCAUUUUUCAAAUUUUUAUACAUUUAAUAAAGUUUAAGCAUUUAUUUAAAUACCUUAGAUAAAAAGGCAUUAAAUAAAUACCAAAAUUUUUAUUAUUUUUCCUAGGGUUUAAGAAUUUUAAUGCAUAAAGGAAAAUAAAACAAUCCUAAUAAAAUUGGUUUCACUAAUUUUGGGCACUUCUAAAAUUUCCUGGAAUUAAAUGGUGAAAACCCUAUUUAAUCUAUUUAUCUAAUAAAAGAAAACCUAAAGUUUAAAUAAAACCCCCGGCCCAAGCUUUUCUCACCCGACUUGCUUCUACCCACUAUCACUUCCACCUAUGGCCCAUCCGGUCUCCUAUUCUCCUUCUUCUUUUCUUCUCUGACAAGUGGGGCCCACGGCCGAAUUUUUCCCUUGGGCCGAAAAGUGGCCCGUCAACUUUAACCUUCCACGCGUGGCCUUUUUGCGGCAGCCUUCUCUUUGGGCCGACUUCCCCCUUCUCUCCUUUUUCUCAACCUUGGUCCAAACUUAUCUCACUCGCACUGGGCCCAAAAGCCGGUCCAUCAAAUCUUCUGUUCCCUUUUCCCCCGGCGCAUGGGCUGGUUUGAACCGGCGCAACGAGCGCCCAAAAUAAAUGGGCCUCCGUGCGGCCGGCCUGCCUUUCUUACAGGCCGACAGCCUAAUCCCCUUCUUUUCAACCACCCGCCGGCCCUCUUUCUUUUUCUUGGACAGCUUGCGGGCCAGCUGGGCUGGCGUCUCCCCUUGGCCCAUGACGGACGGCUGCCCUCUUUUCUUUUGCUCUCCUUCCCACCUGGGCCUCUCCCACCGGGACUUGGCAUUCCCGGCCCAAGUACAUUGACUGGCCUGCUUCCUUCCUUUCUUCUUCUAUGCCGCACGGGCUCAGCUGGGCCGAUUCCCUUCCUUGGCCCAAGACGACGCUGGCCCUCUCUUCCUUUUCUCUUGCUCCCACCUGGGCUUCUCCUACCGCACACUGGCAACACGGCCCAAGCACACGGACCGGCCUGCUUCACCCCCCCCUUUCUCCUUCCAAUCCUCUGGCGCAUGUCUUCUUCUUCCUUGCGCCCAAAACAGAGGCGCAAAUCGCAGGGGGCGGAAGCUCGCCGGCGGCGCCUCCCCGGCGGCGCGGCCGGGCUGGGGGCAUCUCCAAGCCGAGACUCCCCCACAGGUGGCGGCGGCACUCCCGGAGGUGGCCUGUGUCGGGCUCCCCACGGGCGGCGGCACCAUGGCCGGCGGCCGGCCGUGGCCUCACAAAACGACGGCACAACCGGGUCCCUGGCCUCCCCCUACAGCUUCUAUACUCUUGCAGGACACCCCUAGGCCCGCCAAUCGAGAAGGAAAAGCCGAUUCAGGAGCUCACCUUGGGGAUUGGAUGACGGCGGCCGGCGGACAGUAACGGCGGCGAUUCGUAGCUUGCCGGCGAAAAACUGGGCGACGGUUAGCCUUAGGGCGUCAUGGUGAGGCUACAGGGGCUGUUGGUGGGCGGUGGCGCAAAAGGAAACGGUGGCGUGGUGUUGGCCGGCGGCGGCACUGACUUGCUCGAGCUCUGCUCCUGUCGACGUAAAACGGCCGGGUGAAAAGGAUAAGCGCGGGGAUAACAGCAUCGUGGUCUUUCACCGUGCAUGCGUGCCACC